RNAcentral lists this long non-coding RNA (2722 nucleotides) under Haliotis rubra (blacklip abalone). Its description in RNAcentral is "uncharacterized LOC124261754, transcript variant X6". Lineage: Eukaryota; Metazoa; Mollusca; Gastropoda; Lepetellida; Haliotidae. The record is from RNAcentral.
ACAUUUUACACAUGCUGAGUGUCUGGAGCCCUGCGUCAUAACAUGCAUAACAGCGUUACCCGCCAGAACCCGGAAACUUAUACAGGCUCAUGAUAGCUUUCUGGCGUGAAGCUCUGGGAUCCUGACAUUCCUAACGGACGUUCCUCAGCAAUGGGUUAAACCGCCUGGGAGAUAACCAUGGCAUUGACUCGGAGCCUGUUGAAAACUACAAUUGGAUCAUAAUCAACACUAAUGACUCUUUUGGAAAGAUGUUUCAAGACUUUGGCCAUGAGGUUUUGAACUGAUUUUACCUAUGGAGUCUCUGAAUGGAUCACUACAAAAGGAUCAGUUCCUGGAGCAGUAGACGUAGAUCAUUUUGGGAACAUUUUUAAACACAUCAAAGAGAGGUAGCGGUUAAUAAGAGAGGAAAUAAACACAAGACCGAAGAAGCCUUUGUAUCAUCAACGCUUAGUGGGAAUUUAAAAGCGGCGUGAAUUUCAUCACUUCAUCUGUCCGGCAGGUAUUCUAUGGGUGUUGAUACUCCUUGGAUGUGUUGCAGUCACGAGGCUUGUUGAGAAAACUACAUCGAUCAACUGUGCAUCAUCAACAGCACGCAACGGCAUCAACAGCUAUAGUACCGAUUGUACAUGGCCACAGAGAAGAAACUUAAGGAGUGAACUUAUGAGAUUCAAGAGAAAUCCAACGUUCAAGGACGCACUUCUCUACAAUAUCCCCCAAAAGAGGGACAAGUUUAGAAAAAAACUUGAAAGAGACUUUGGGGUGCUAUCGAUCAGACAACCUAGGACGACAUAUAUGUUUGAUGAUCCAACGAAAAGGUGCACGGGGUAUUGGCACGAAGACUAUUUCGACAUAUGUCGUAAAAUGGAUGUUUUGACGUACAGUAGGUGGCGAUAUCCGCGACGCAUGCAUGAAUACAAAUGUUGUCCAGCGCCGAAAGACCAGGGAGGCCAUUGCAGGCCCGUCACCAUUCCUAUACACGUCCUACAGGUCAUCGACAGACAUUGUCCGUGCGUUGUAUGGGAUUUCUAUUUUAAAACUGUAGGGUGUUCGUAUGAACCUGAUAAUUCAACAAGUUUCCGGAAUACGACCUAGGCUUGUGCACUCGAUAUAAAGACGUCUUGCCUUGUGGCUGAGCUGCUUAGUAGUAGGCCUAACAAUAGUGUUUGGAUGUAAUUAUUGGGAGCUUACAGUUGACAAGCUCAGAAGAAUCGAAAGGAACGAGUUUCCAGAAGGAUGUUUUUGUGUGACGUUGCUAAUGACACAUCUACAAUGUGAACUGUUUGUCAGAGGUCGACCUAAUGACUUAAAACCUCAGACUGAUAUAUCACAAUCGAUAUGUGAAUUGUGUUUCGUUCCAACACGCUGUACCCAGCCGAUACUACAGGUACAAUGUGCAACAGUUGCAUACCAUAUAACACUGCCUCACGACAACUAAUAUUCUACAAUGUCGUGAAUACUCCGAUACGUUCCCUGGUAGUGCAGGAAUUACGCCGACCAAACCACACGGUUAUUGCUCCCCCGAAGACACUGUGGCAAUAUCGACCCUGAUCGAUGAAUGGUCGAGAUUUAUCGUGCAUGCAAACGAACUCGCAAACCAAGAACGCCGGUGUUAGGUUGUUAGGUUGAUGAUGGACAUUUUAAGGAGCCACCUAUCACUGGAAUGACUAUUAAUUGCACUGGUUGACAUAACAUCUAUCGUAUGAGAGAAAGUUGAAGGGUAUUCAAGAUCGGACACAUCAUGUAAUAUAUUCGUGUGCUGGCUACCUAUAAGCCAAAUAAACGAGAGAUGCAAAUCUCAGCAGGUACGGGUUCCAUUGCAAGGGAUGUUAAGGUCCGAUAAAGUCACAUGAUACAAUAUCAAUUUUACGAAAAGGUAUUAGUGACACAUACCUUUGUGCUAAUUACCUAUACCUUCGUACAUAGUGGCCAAUUCUUCGGGCACAUCAACCAUGACACCCUUCAAUCAUUUACUAAAUCCUUGGCAAAGUGGGCACUUCGAUGGCUAGAGUACACAUAAGAUAACCAACGAAUAAAACUGUCGCUGAAUUUUAAUUCGCUGAAUCAAAUCUAACGUUAUAUGUCAGUUUAUAUCCACGUGCACAUGCACACGUAUGUCAGUAUGCCCCAACAUCAAUGUGCAGCUGCACACAUGCACCUCUUCACCUGCGUAUUGACACUCACAUUUAGGCAUACACAUAGAUACAUAUUCAUCAACCAAGCCCCAAACGUACACACAAACCUGUUUUUCAUGAUUUUGAAUAAGUGCAUAUCGUCCCUGUGAUUUUACUAAUUCAAACAUGCGUGCAACAAUAACACAAUGAAUCAGGGUGUUGGUCAUGGUGAACUACUUGAUUACUCCAGGUAAACAUUGAGUUGUAUCCUGGCACAUGUAUUUUACCACAAUGCUGUCUACACAGAGCUGCAAAGUUUUGUCAGUCAUACAUUCACUUUUGCAAGCAUGGAGAGUAUCGGUUUCGCGAAGUUCAAAUAUGAACGUAGACCUUGCGUUUGUGUUCAUUUAAACGUUCAGUUUGUUUGUACAAACACAUUGUAAUUUUACUGUAACAUAUAGGACAUCUCAUUUGCAGAUUGUUGCCCUCCAUAUAGCUGUUUCAUGUUACAAUGUUUUCUAUCAAGUGUGUAUUCCAUGAAAAAGGUGAAUAAUUUGCCGAAUAACUGUCUCAUUUCAUGUUAUUGUUUCCAAUAAAAGAUGUUUAAGGAA